GACGAACGCUGGCGGCGUGCCUAAUACAUGCAAGUCGAGCGAGCUUGCCUAGAUGAAUUUGGUGCUUGCACCAAAUGAAACUAGAUACAAGCGAGCGGCGGACGGGUGAGUAACACGUGGGUAACCUGCCCAAGAGACUGGGAUAACACCUGGAAACAGAUGCUAAUACCGGAUAACAACACUAGACGCAUGUCUAGAGUUUAAAAGAUGGUUCUGCUAUCACUCUUGGAUGGACCUGCGGUGCAUUAGCUAGUUGGUAGGGUAACGGCUUACCAAGGCAAUGAUGCAUAGCCGAGUUGAGAGACUGAUCGGCCACAUUGGGACUGAGACACGGCCCAAACUCCUACGGGAGGCAGCAGUAGGGAAUCUUCCACAAUGGACGCAAGUCUGAUGGAGCAACGCCGCGUGAGUGAAGAAGGGUUUCGGCUCGUAAAGCUCUGUUGGUAGUGAAGAAAGAUAGAGGUAGUAACUGGCCUUUAUUUGACGGUAAUUACUUAGAAAGUCACGGCUAACUACGUGCCAGCAGCCGCGGUAAUACGUAGGUGGCAAGCGUUGUCCGGAUUUAUUGGGCGUAAAGCGAGUGCAGGCGGUUCAAUAAGUCUGAUGUGAAAGCCUUCGGCUCAACCGGAGAAUUGCAUCAGAAACUGUUGAACUUGAGUGCAGAAGAGGAGAGUGGAACUCCAUGUGUAGCGGUGGAAUGCGUAGAUAUAUGGAAGAACACCAGUGGCGAAGGCGGCUCUCUGGUCUGCAACUGACGCUGAGGCUCGAAAGCAUGGGUAGCGAACAGG
RNAcentral lists this ribosomal RNA (788 nucleotides) under uncultured Lactobacillus sp. Its description in RNAcentral is "bacterial SSU rRNA". It matches the Rfam family "Bacterial small subunit ribosomal RNA", at positions 28 to 776 of the family's 1533-position model. Lineage: Bacteria; Bacillati; Bacillota; Bacilli; Lactobacillales; Lactobacillaceae. The record is from RNAcentral.